RNAcentral lists this ribosomal RNA (507 nucleotides) under uncultured Glomeromycotina. Its description in RNAcentral is "partial small subunit ribosomal RNA". It matches the Rfam family "Eukaryotic small subunit ribosomal RNA", at positions 591 to 1092 of the family's 1831-position model. The record is from RNAcentral. Lineage: Eukaryota; Fungi; Glomeromycota.
CCAAUAGCGUAUAUUAAAGUUGUUGCAGUUAAAAAGCUCGUAGUUGAAUUUCGGGAUUGGCGCAUCGGUCGUGCCUUACGGGGUAUGAACUGGUGCAGUCAAUUUCUCACCUUCUGGAGAACCGCGAUGUCCUUAAUUGGGUGCCGUGGGGAACCAGGACCUUUACUUUGAAAAAAUUAGAGUGUUUAAAGCAGGCAUUUUUGCUUGAAUACAUUAGCAUGGAAUAAUAAAAUAGGACGGCAUGGUUCUAUUUUGUUGGUUUCUAGGACCACCGUAAUGAUUAAUAGGGAUAGUUGGGGGCAUUAGUAUUCAAUUGUCAGAGGUGAAAUUCUUGGAUUUAUUGAAGACUAACUACUGCGAAAGCAUUUGCCAAGGAUGUUUUCAUUAAUCAAGAACGAAAGUUAGGGGAUCGAAGACGAUCAGAUACCGUCGUAGUCUUAACCAUAAACUAUGCCGACUAGGAAUCAGACGAUGUUAAUUUUUUAAUGACUCGUUUGGCACCUUACG